GUAGGGAAUCUUCCACAAUGGACGAAAGUCUGAUGGAGCAACGCCGCGUGAGUGAAGAAGGUCUUCGGAUCGUAAAACUCUGUUGUUAGAGAAGAACGUGCGUGAUAGUAACUGAUCAUGUAAUGACGGUAUCUAACCAGAAAGCCACGGCUAACUACGUGCCAGCAGCCGCGGUAAUACGUAGGUGGCAAGCGUUGUCCGGAUUUAUUGGGCGUAAAGGGAACGCAGGCGGUUUUUUAAGUCUGAUGUGAAAGCCUUCGGCUUAACCGAAGAAUAGCAUUGGAAACUGGAAGACUUGAGUGCAGAAGAGGAGAGUGGAAUUCCAUGUGUAGCGGUGAAAUGCGUAGAGAUUUGGAAGAACACCAGUGGCGAAGGCGACUUUCUGGACGAUGUCUGACGCUGAGGCGCGAAAGCUAGGGGAGCGAACGGGAUUAGAUACCCGUGUAGUCC
Molecule: ribosomal RNA, 450 nt
Filed under: uncultured bacterium
Lineage: Bacteria
Description: partial 16S ribosomal RNA
Rfam family: Bacterial small subunit ribosomal RNA
Source: RNAcentral